AUUGAACGCUGGCGGCAUGCUUUACACAUGCAAGUCGAACGGUGACAGGUUAAGCUGACGAGUGGCGAACGGGUGAGUAAUGCAUCGGAACGUGCCCGGUCGUGGGGGAUAACGCAGCGAAAGCUGCGCUAAUACCGCAUACGAUCUGAGGAUGAAAGCGGGGGACCGUAAGGCCUCGCGCGAUCGGAGCGGCCGAUGUCAGAUUAGGUAGUUGGUGGGGUAAAGGCUCACCUAGCCAACGAUCUGUAGCUGGUCUGAGAGGACGACCAGCCACACUGGGACUGGGACACGGCCCAGACUCCUACGGGAGGCAGCAGUGGGGAAUUUUGGACAAUGGGCGAAAGCCUGAUUCAGCAAUGCCGCGUGCAGGAAGAAGGCCUUCGGGUUGUAAACUGCUUUUGUACGGAGCGAAAAGGUCUCCUCUAAUACAGGGGGCUCAUGACGGUACCGUAAGAAUAAGCACCGGCUAACUACGUGCCAGCCGCCGCAGUAA
Molecule: ribosomal RNA, 493 nt
Filed under: uncultured bacterium
Lineage: Bacteria
Description: partial 16S ribosomal RNA
Rfam family: Bacterial small subunit ribosomal RNA
Source: RNAcentral